This is a long non-coding RNA of Cyprinus carpio carpio, 1902 nucleotides long. The record is from Ensembl. Lineage: Eukaryota; Metazoa; Chordata; Actinopteri; Cypriniformes; Cyprinidae.
AUAAAAUAAAAAUUAAGAAAAUGAAGUUUGUUUUAGAAUAAAGUAUCUGUGCAUCAUUUUCAUAACAGUCGAACAUCAUUUGCCCCAAAUUCUUAUUAAUGUAAAUCUUGAUGUUUUUUCUCCUUUUUCUUCUUAGUGGUGUGUUUGUGUGUGUGUGAGAGAGAGAGAGCGAGAGAGUCUGUGUUUCUUUAUUGUAAAGAGUGGGCAGAUGCGUUUAAAUUGUCAGGAAAAUAAUGCAAUACAAUUAAGGUUCUGAAAAUAUGCUUGAUCUUUUUGUUUUUUUUUGUUUUUUUUUCAUGCAAAAUGCUUUUAUUUUUUCAUUUGGUUAAGGGUGAAAUAAUGAUCUGGGAAUAAUCUUGAAUAUUCUUAAGAUUCACCGAACUAUAACCAGAAAAUCUAUCUACAUAACCACCAAGUCAGUUGUCCCUCAAAGUUUGAUAGUCUUUGAUAUUCGAAUUACAUGAUGCCUGGACUGGUGUCAGAUGGUCCAUAGGGGGCAGUGUUUGCCAUUACACAGAGUUCUGGUUCAAAGAGCCGUUUGAUGGCUGUUCUGUUGUUUUCUCUUCUUUAAAGACAUUAUUUAUGUGUUGUUGUUAUGAUAUUAAAUGCACACAUCACUCAGGAUAUUGAAUUCCUGAUCUGAAGUGUUUCCUGAGAAAAAGGUUGUCACUUUGUUCUGCUUCUUUGAACUCGGCCAGAUUGUGUGUAGAGCCUUUAUGCAAAAGUAUCAGACCAAAAAAAAAAUUAAAAAAAUCUGUUUUAAUGUUAUCAGAAAGCUAAAAAAAAAAAAAAAGAUAAUUUGGUACUCGAUACAAAUUGACAUUUUAGCGAAGGCUAGUUUUCCAGUCCAGUACAUGUGGCGUCCCUCAAAGCUCUGUCCUCGGACCAUCUUUGAUUGUGUAAUCUGUAACUGUAGAGAGGGCAUUAUGCAUGCACAAGUUAAUUAUUUGAAAAUGCAUUGAACUGGAUCACGUCAAAUUGAAUAUUGCGGCCCAGUCCAGUGAUGGGCAUGUAUGGUGGGGCACACAAUUUCUUUAUUUUAUGGAGCUCCUGUGUUAGCAAAUGGUUUAGUUUGAGUAUUUUCUUAUUUAAUCCUUGCCCCCUUAAAAAGUAAGAUCAAGCUUCACAUUGACAAAAAUGACCCCAGUCUAAACCUUAUUGUGAUUUACCUUGCCUUACACCACAUUGAGAGUUCUUGAAAAUAAUAAUAAUAAUUAAAAAUUUGUCGCAUCCUUUUUGUUUUAAUUGUAUAUAGAAAUUAAAUACACACAUUUAAAUGAAGUUUGCAGUACAGUUUCCAUAUUCUAUUGUGUGUUUCUUUUGAUUGUGGGUCACAAUCAAAAUAAUGACAUCAGUGGAGCCCUUGCAAUAAUAAUAAUCAGUGCGAUAACAGUGACACAUGUGAUGUCCAUCUAUAUUGAGGGCAUUUUGCUUUUUGUUUGUUUCCUACUGAAAACAGACAAGCACAUACACACAUUCAGAAACACACCAGAAAAAAGCAUGUUUGGUUUGUAUUGAUCAGUUUGAUUGGUAGGUAUUGAUUAUCAUUGCUGCAAUCAUGCCAUGCUGGAGGGAGGAUGUUUUCAGUGCACUUGAAGUUUGCUUUCUUUUCUUAUUUUGUCUUGAUUUCUUGCAUGCUGCUGUUUUUUUUUCUUCUUUUUCUAAGAGAGUUUUUACUCUCCUUCCCAACUUUGUAUAGACAGACAGUUGUGCUAAGUGUGACGGGUGGAUAAUGCUGGUGUGUUCUCCUGCAGUGAAUGCUUGUCAGGCAGGCAGUAAUACAGUACAUUACUGUAAGUGCUGAGUCAGACUUUAUGAUGUCAUCUCUGAAAGGGUGACUUUUAAUGACAUUUAAUGCAAAAUGUAACAUAUGUGAAUAAAAUAUACAGAUGCUCUGAUAUG